Callithrix jacchus (white-tufted-ear marmoset) is the source of this 3094-nucleotide long non-coding RNA. Lineage: Eukaryota; Metazoa; Chordata; Mammalia; Primates; Cebidae. The record is from Ensembl.
UAAAUACUCAACUCUGUCAUCAAAAGUCUUGUAGAAAUAUGAAAGUUUUCUGCUGGUGGUUUUGGUCUCUAUGUUAAUUCUAUAAUUUGUUGUUGUUGUUGUUAAGAAAUAUGGAUGGUGUGAAAACCUAUCUGAACUGCUCUGAUAGAAACUCAAGCAACGAGCAGUACAAGUCAGCUCCACACAAGGAUAUCCUGAUGAAGCUCUCCUGACUUCUAGGAGCAGAUGUUAUGGAGGUGUGGUGGCAUGUGCCUGUGGUCCCAGCUACUCAGGAGGCUGAGGCAAAAGAAUUGCUUAAACCCGGGAGGCAGAGGUUGCAGUGAGUUGAAAUCCCACGACUGCACUCCAGCCUGGAAGACAAAGCAAGACUGCAUCUCAAAAUAGGUAAAAAAUAUAUAAGGUAUUUGCAUAGCAUUUCACAGACUUAAAUGAAAUAUUGGUUGGCUGUUUGUUAUUUUCUUCCCUUAUUCCUUCCUGUCUCUGCUGUUAAGCACAAUUAUAGCCAUAAAAGAGGUUUUUAAUACCUAUUUUUAGAUUGUAUUCCAACCUGGGCAAUAGAGCAGACUCCUGUUCUCUCCCUCUUUCUUUCUUUCUAAUAAAAAUAAAUAAAUAAAUAAUCAAUCUAUUAAGGAUGAGUGUGGUGUCAAGAAAAAAAAAAUCUGAAAAAAAAAAAAAAAAAAAGAAACCUGGUUUUAAAUGCUGCUCAUUUUUUACUUCAUAAUCUUCAAAUUAUUGAAGUAAUUUGAAGUUACUGGUUUCUGUUAAAUUUUGAGGCUUUCCCUCUGUGUGCGCUUUCUUGGAGAGGCCCAGCCUCUAUACUGUUUUUCAAUAGGAGUGGUGUUCUGGUUCAAGCAGGCCCAUAGUGUCCAGGUCUAAGGAUUCCAAAGAGUUCAGAAAAGAAUUCAAGCAAUGGGCUGUAUAUAUGUGCAUAGCUUCCAAUUUAUAAAUAUAGUCAGAGGACUGUAAAGCCAACCCAAACCCGCAUAGAAGGAUGGAGCUGUAGGUUGCUUCUCCAGCAACCAUACGAGAAAAUAAAAAAAAUGACAGUUGAGUGUUUGGAAAGAAUGUGAGCUUUGGAGCAAGGCAGUGUGGAUGUGAAUCUCAUGUACUAGUUGUGUUGUCUUAGGCAUGUCAUUUAACCUCACUGAGCCUUGGUUUUUCUUUAUAAAAUGGGGUUAAUAGAAACUUUCUAACGCUAACUUAUUGUUAGCAUAGAGAUAAUGUUUGUAGAAUGCUUUGCACAUGGUAGGCUCUUAGGAAAUAGUAGUUACAAUUUGGGGGUUUCUGUCAAGAGUGGUGUGAUGGACGCUAAUGCUCCACCCAGGUCCCUACUAGGGGUCCUGUUGACAGUGAUCAGCAUUCAGUAACUGCUCAAGAGAAGUUUAUAAUAGGCUUGGCUAUCUUGGCUUAACUUGAAAAAAUUAAAAAAAAAAUAAAUAAUGGCAUAGAUUUUUGUUUAUUGAUGAUUAUACUAAAUAAUUCAUUUCCUAUAGUUUUGCUGCACAUUAAUUAAUAUAAAAUAUUAUUAACUUUUAUACUAUUAUUAUUGAGUUGGCAAAGUUAUUCGUAUUAUGGGAAAAGAUUAUCAGACACUUUAGCCCAGUGUCAUAAAAAAUUUGGAUUUUCGUUCUGAUUCUGGGCUCAUGAAGCAACCUUCUGUCACUAACUGUCAUCCUACAUAGGCUUGCCUUAAGGGAAGAAUUGCUCUGAUAAGACCAGUUAGUUUCUAAGGAAACUCUAUUUUAAUACAUAAACCAAUAGUUUGCUUUUAUACAUCAAACUUGUGAUUUUGGCAAAUGAAUGCUGCUUUUUUGUCCAAAUCCUAGAGGUAGGACAUGCUAUGAUAUAUAUAAACCCUGGGACCUUGUGGGAGCAUUUAAAUGGCCGAAGCAUCAAAGAAAUCUUCUGAGGAAUGUUUAAGAAUUAACCAGGUCAAGGAGAAAAUGAAGUUCUCACUGCCAAGAUAGUGCAGGGCAAACAGAAAGCUUAAGGUGUCAAGAUAUAUAAACAGAAUGGGGAUAAUGGGGAUAAGGGUCGUGUUAUGUGAAGGGACUACACGUACUUCAGGGUUGCCAAAAGAAGAGUUAAAGGCAGAUACUUUUAAGAGACUGGGCAAAAAGUCUGGCUGGGUCAGUAUUUAAUUGUAUCCCCCCAAAAAUUCAUGUGCUGAAAUACUAACCCCUAGGACCUCAGAGUGGGACGUUGAUUGGAGAUAGAGUCUUUACUGAGAUAACCAAAUUUAUGUCAAAUUAGAGUGGGUUCAAAUUCAACAUGACUGAUGUCCUUAUAAAAAGGGGAAAUUUGGGCACAGACGUAUAUAGAGGCAGGGUGAUUUGAAGACACACAGGGAAAGGUGACCAUCUUUCUUCCAGGCUAAGCAAAGCGGCCUGGAACAGAUCCUUUCCUCAUAGUCCUCAGAAGGAAUCAAUCCUUCCAAUACAUUGAUUUUAGGCUUUUCACCUCCAUAACUGUGAGUUAACACAUUUCUGUUGUCCAAGCCACCAAAUCUGUGAUACUUUGUUACGGCAACUUAGCAGACAGAUACAGCCAGCUUUUAAACAUCUGUAUGUUUCUGCUAAUGAGCUUAUACCUUCUUUGCAUAACAGGGAAAUACUGAAGUUUUUUUUAAGGUGUGAUAUGAAUAGACUUGGUGUUUGUGUGUGUGUGUGUGUGUGUGUGUGUGUGUGUGUGAGAGAGAGAGAGAGAGAGAGAGAGAUAUGAGGAGACUUGGUGUUUGUAUGCAUUAGUGUGUUUGUGUAUGUGUUUAUAGAUCAUUAUGAUAGCCCUGUGGAAGAUGGAUUCAUGGAGACUACAUAUUCAAGUCAAGGACAUCAGUUAAGAAAUUAUUAUGUUAGUUCAAGUGAGUUAUUACUAUGUUUUAACAUUUUAAUAUCAGAAGUGAUAUUUGUUUACAAAGGUAGUGGAAUGGACUGCAAAUAGGCUAGCACUGGAGCCAGACUCUCAGGGUAUGUAUUCUACCUCUGCCACUUGCUAGCUGUGUGACCUUGAGCAAAGUACUUAGCUAUCUUGAUCUUGAUCGCAUUUCUUUACAGUUUGUCUGUCCACUAAAGCCAAUAAAGUUUCUAAAUCAUAA